CGCGAGUCGCGGGGUCUUGGACAGGCCCGCGGGCGCAGUGAAAGCGGAAGGAGGGGCCCCCUCUCGCGGAACCGCCGUGCCGGGACUCUCCGCUCCCGAGGCGGGGAGGCACCGGCGACCCGUUCCGGCCGCCGCGGCGGCGGGACGGAGUCCGAGCGCACACGUUGGGACCCGAAAGAUGGUGAACUAUGCCCGGGCAGGGCGAAGCCAGAGGAAACUCUGGUGGAGGCCCGCAGCGGUUCUGACGUGCAAAUCGAUCGUCGGACCUGGGUAUAGGGGUGAAAGGCUAAUCGAACCGUCUAGUAGCUGGUUCCCUCCGAAGUUUCUCGCAGGAUAGCUGGCGCUCGUGGGGGAAACCAUCCUCUUCCGGUAAAGCAAAGGACUAAAGGCCUGGGGGUCAAACCAACCUCAACCUAUUCUCAAAUUUUAAAUGGGUGAGGGGUCCGGCUUGCGCGUGCGGGAGCCGGACGACGGGAUGCGAGCGCCCAGUGGGCCACUUUUGGUAAGCAGAACUGGCGCUGUGGGAUGAACCAAACGCCGGGUUAAGGCGCCCGAUGCGAGACGCUCACGAGACCCCAUGAAAGGUGUCUGUUGCUACAGACAGCAGGACGGUGGCCACGGAGGUCGGAACCCGCUAAGGAGUGUGUAACAACUCACCUGCCGAAGCAACUGGCCCUGAAAAUGGAUGGCGCUCCAGCGUCGAGCCCACACCCGGCCGUCGCCGCAGAGCUCCCGGAGCGAAGGGAGGCCCACGCGGCGACGAGUAGGAGGGUCGCGGCGGCGGGCGUCGAAGGUGCCGGGCGCGAGCCCGCCUGGAGCCGCCGCUGGCGCAGAUCUUGGUGGUAGUAGCAAAUACUCAAGUGAGAGCCUUGAGGACUGAGGUGGAGAAGGGUUCCAUGUGAACAGCAGUUGAACAUGGGUCAGUCGGCCCUAAGGGAUGGGAGAAGUCCGUUCGGAAGCGGGACGUUGAGAGAGAGAGAGAGCGAGAGUCCCGCUCGCGACCGAAAGGGAACGGGGUCAAUAUUCCCCGACCCGGACACGGAGAUCGGGCCCUCGGGUCCAAGCGCGGCGACGCAAGCGAACUCGGAGACGCCGGCGGGUGCCCCGGGGAGAGUUGUCUUUUCUUUGUAAGGGUCCGGGCCCCUGGAAGCGGCUCGUCCGGAGAUAGGGGCGCUGGGCCCGUAAAGCACCGCGGCUCUUGCGGUGUCCGGAGCGCUCCCGCCGGCCCUUGAAAAUCCGAGGGAGGUGGUGUGAUUCUCGUGCCGGACCGUACCCAUAUCCGCAGCAGGU
This 1290-nucleotide ribosomal RNA is filed under the name Ochyrocera sp. 506 FL-2019. RNAcentral's name for it is "partial large subunit ribosomal RNA". It matches the Rfam family "Eukaryotic large subunit ribosomal RNA", at positions 685 to 1864 of the family's 3401-position model. Lineage: Eukaryota; Metazoa; Arthropoda; Arachnida; Araneae; Ochyroceratidae. The record is from RNAcentral.